RNAcentral lists this ribosomal RNA (1002 nucleotides) under uncultured bacterium. RNAcentral describes it as "bacterial SSU rRNA". It matches the Rfam family "Bacterial small subunit ribosomal RNA", at positions 353 to 1371 of the family's 1533-position model. The record is from RNAcentral.
AGUGAGGAAUAUUGCACAAUGGGCGAAAGCCUGAUGCAGCAACGCCGCGUGGAGGAUGACGCAUUUCGGUGUGUAAACUCCUUUUAUCAGAGAAGAAAAUGACGGUAUCUGAUGAAUAAGCUCCGGCUAACUCCGUGCCAGCAGCCGCGGUAAUACGGAGGGAGCAAGCGUUAUUCGGAAUCACUGGGCGUAAAGGACGCGUAGGCGGGUUAUUAAGUCAGAUGUGAAAUCCUAUGGCUCAACCAUAGAACUGCAUUUGAAACUGGUAGCCUAGAGUAUGGAAGGGGAAGAUGGAAUUAGUGGUGUAGGGGUAAAAUCCGUAGAUAUCACUAGGAAUACCGAAAGCGAAGGCGAUCUUCUGGGACAUUACUGACGCUGAGGCGUGAAAGCGUGGGGAGCAAACAGGAUUAGAUACCCUGGUAGUCCACGCCCUAAACGAUGAAUGCUAGUCGUCGGAGAGCUCGUCUCUUCGGUGAUGCAGUUAACACAUUAAGCAUUCCGCCUGGGGAGUACGGUCGCAAGAUUAAAACUCAAAGGAAUAGACGGGGACCCGCACAAGUGGUGGAGCAUGUGGUUUAAUUCGAAGAUACGCGAAGAACCUUACCUGGCCUUGACAUUGAUUGAAUCUGGUAGAGAUACCGGAGUGCCUUUCGGGGAACAUGAAAACAGGUGCUGCACGGCUGUCGUCAGCUCGUGUCGUGAGAUGUUGGGUUAAGUCCCGCAACGAGCGCAACCCUCGUCGUUAGUUGCUAACAGUUCGGCUGAGCACUCUAGCGAGACUGCCUUCGUAAGGAGGAGGAAGGUGAGGACGACGUCAAGUCAUCAUGGCCCUUACGGCCAGGGCUACACACGUGCUACAAUGGGGCGUACAGAGAGUUGCGAUACCGCGAGGUGGAGCUAAUCUCAUAAAGCGUCUCUCAGUUCGGAUUGGAGUCUGCAACUCGACUCCAUGAAGCUGGAAUCACUAGUAAUCGUAGAUCAGCAAUGCUACGGUGAAUACGU